This 492-nucleotide ribosomal RNA is filed under the name uncultured bacterium. Its description in RNAcentral is "partial 16S ribosomal RNA". It matches the Rfam family "Bacterial small subunit ribosomal RNA", at positions 29 to 506 of the family's 1533-position model. The record is from RNAcentral.
ACGAACGCUGGCGGCGUGCUUAACACAUGCAAGUCGAACGGUGAAGCGCCUUCCUUUUUGGUGGGUGUGGAUGAGUGGCGAACGGGUGAGUAACACGUGAGUAACCUGCCCCCUUCUUCUGGAUAACCGCAUGAAAGUGUGGCUAAUACGGGAUACUCUGGGUCUGUCGCAUGAUGGGUCUGGGAAAGAUAUUGUUUCGGUGGGGGAUGGGCUCGCGGCCUAUCAGCUUGUUGGUGGGGUGAUGGCCUACCAAGGCGGUGACGGGUAGCCGGCCUGAGAGGGUGGACGGUCACACUGGGACUGAGACACGGCCCAGACUCCUACGGGAGGCAGCAGUGGGGAAUAUUGCACAAUGGGCGCAAGCCUGAUGCAGCGACGCCGCGUGAGGGAUGGAGGCCUUCGGGUUGUGAACCUCUUUCGCCAGUGAAGCAGGCCUGCCUCGUUUGUGGGUGGGUGGACGGUAGCUGGAUAAGAAGCGCCGGCUAACUACGU